UAGCUUGCUAGAGGAUGACGAGUGGCGGACGGGUGUAGUAAUGCUUGGGAACUUGCCUUUGCGAGGGGGAUAACAGUUGGAAACGACUGCUAAUACCGCAUAAUGUCUUCGGACCAAACGGGGCUUCGGCUCCGGCGCAAAGAGAGGCCCAAGUGAGAUUAGCUAGUUGGUAAGGUAAAGGCUUACCAAGGCGACGAUCUCUAGCUGUUCUGAGAGGAAGAUCAGCCACACUGGGACUGAGACACGGCCCAGACUCCUACGGGAGGCAGCAGUGGGGAAUAUUGCACAAUGGGGGAAACCCUGAUGCAGCCAUGCCGCGUGUGUGAAGAAGGCCUUCGGGUUGUAAAGCACUUUCAGUUGUGAGGAAAAGUUAGUAGUUAAUACCUGCUAGCCGUGACGUUAACAACAGAAGAAGCACCGGCUAACUCCGUGCCAGCAGCCGCGGUAAUACGGAGGGUGCGAGCGUUAAUCGGAAUUACUGGGCGUAAAGCGCACGCAGGCGGUUUGUUAAGCUAGAUGUGAAAGCCCCGGGCUCAACCUGGGAUGGUCAUUUAGAACUGGCAGACUAGAGUCUUGGAGAGGGGAGUGGAAUUCCGGUGUAGCGGUGAAAUGCGUAGAUAUCUGGAGGAACAUCAGUGGCGAAGGCGACUCCCUGGCCAAAGACUGACGCUCAUGUGCGAAAGUGUGGGUAGCGAACAGGAUUAGAUACCCCUGAUACUCCACACCGUAACGCUGUCUAC
This 740-nucleotide ribosomal RNA is filed under the name uncultured Alteromonas sp. RNAcentral's name for it is "bacterial SSU rRNA". It matches the Rfam family "Bacterial small subunit ribosomal RNA", at positions 76 to 816 of the family's 1533-position model. Lineage: Bacteria; Pseudomonadati; Pseudomonadota; Gammaproteobacteria; Alteromonadales; Alteromonadaceae. The record is from RNAcentral.